AAACUUUCAACAACGGAUCUCUUGGUUCUGGCAUCGAUGAAGAACGCAGCGAAAUGCGAUAAGUAAUGUGAAUUGCAGAAUUCAGUGAAUCAUCGAAUCUUUGAACGCACAUUGCGCCCCCUGGUAUUCCGGGGGGCAUGCCUGUCCGAGCGUCAUUG
Molecule: ribosomal RNA, 158 nt
Filed under: Bacidia rosella
Lineage: Eukaryota; Fungi; Ascomycota; Lecanoromycetes; Lecanorales; Ramalinaceae
Also listed under: 2 other names
Description: 5.8S ribosomal RNA
Rfam family: 5.8S ribosomal RNA
About the family: 5.8S ribosomal RNA (5.8S rRNA) is a component of the large subunit of the eukaryotic ribosome. It is transcribed by RNA polymerase I as part of the 45S precursor that also contains 18S and 28S rRNA. Functionally, it is thought that 5.8S rRNA may be involved in ribosome translocation.
Source: RNAcentral